CCUGGUGGCUCAGACAGUAAAGCAUCUGCCUGCAAUGCAGGAGACCCAGGUUCAAUCCCUGGGUCAGGA
This 69-nucleotide transfer RNA is filed under the name Bos taurus (domestic cattle). It matches the Rfam family "tRNA". From Rfam's summary of the family: Transfer RNA (tRNA) molecules are approximately 80 nucleotides in length. Their secondary structure includes four short double-helical elements and three loops (D, anti-codon, and T loops). Lineage: Eukaryota; Metazoa; Chordata; Mammalia; Artiodactyla; Bovidae. RNAcentral also lists the same sequence under 6 other names. The record is from Rfam by way of RNAcentral.